RNAcentral lists this ribosomal RNA (396 nucleotides) under Triticum aestivum (bread wheat). RNAcentral's name for it is "partial small subunit ribosomal RNA". The record is from RNAcentral. Lineage: Eukaryota; Viridiplantae; Streptophyta; Magnoliopsida; Poales; Poaceae.
AUGGCGGGCGCUCACCUUCUCGCCCCUCCCCCUCCACCUCCGAGCGCCUUACCCAGCGGUUCCUCAACAGCUCGCAGCUGUCGCUCAAGUCGCUUCCGCUUCUCUCCUCCUGCCUGCCCCCUUGCUGUCGUCCGCCGCCGACCGGACUUGGAUGGACGAGCACAUCCUCAAGGCCAAGCAGGCGCGGUGCUCCAGCAGUCUGGCCUCCUCGGCGUCGACGCAGUCUGCAUCCAUCUAGGCAUUCAUCUAAUAAGUUCUAUGUCUUCUGAAAUCUGUCUGGUUUUUCUUCCUUCACAUCUAAUUAGUUUCACAUGGAUUUGUAUGUUACAGAGUUCUAAAGAACAGAGGAAGAUUCCUGUGCUUGGAGUUGAGUCAUGUGAAUGUUUAGAUUUUUAA